GGGGUUGUAGCUCAGUGGUAGAGCACUUAUCUCGCACAUGUGAGGCCCUGGGUUCGAUCCCCAGGACCACA
This is a non-coding RNA of Ictidomys tridecemlineatus (thirteen-lined ground squirrel), 71 nucleotides long. The record is from Rfam. NCBI's taxonomy places the organism in Eukaryota, Metazoa, Chordata, Mammalia, Rodentia, Sciuridae.